This 408-nucleotide ribosomal RNA is filed under the name uncultured bacterium. RNAcentral's name for it is "partial 16S ribosomal RNA". It matches the Rfam family "Bacterial small subunit ribosomal RNA", at positions 28 to 526 of the family's 1533-position model. The record is from RNAcentral.
GACGAACGCUGGCGGCGUUCUUAACACAUGCAAGUCGAACGGAGUGGCGAACGGGUGAGUAACACGUGGGUGAUCUGCCUUGCACUUCGGGGUAAGCUUGGGAAACUGGGUCUACUACCGGAUAUUGCAAGAUGAGCUCGAGGCCUAGCCGCUUGUUGGUGUGGUAAUUGCCUUCCAAGGCUUCGACGGGUAGCCGGCCUGGGAGGGGGUACGGCCACAUUGGGACGGAGAUACGGCCCAGAGUCGUACGGGAGGCAGCAGUGGGGAAUAUUGCACAAUGGGCGGAAGCCUGAUGCAGCGACGCCGCGGGGGGGAUGAAGGCCUUCGGGUUGUAAACUCCUUUCGACAGGGACGCGGUACCUGUAUAAGAAGCACCGGCUAACUACGUGCCAGCAGCCGCGGUAAUAC